UACGGGGGGAGCAAGCGUUGUUCGGAUUUACUGGGCGUAAAGGGCGCGUAGCGACUCGGUGAGCAAGUCACUUGUGAAAUCUCCGGGCUUAACUCGGAACGGUCAAGUGAUACUGUCGGACUAGAGUACAGAAGGGGCAACUGGAAUUCUCGGUGUAGCGGUGAAAUGCGUAGAUAUCGAGAGGAACACCUGCGGCGAGGGCGGGUUGCUGGGCUGAUACUGACGCUGAGGCGCGAAAGCCAGGGGAGCAAACGGG
This 256-nucleotide ribosomal RNA is filed under the name uncultured bacterium. RNAcentral describes it as "partial 16S ribosomal RNA". It matches the Rfam family "Bacterial small subunit ribosomal RNA", at positions 524 to 776 of the family's 1533-position model. The record is from RNAcentral.